CCUACGGGCGACAGCAGUGAGGAAUAUUGGUCAAUGGGCGCGAGCCUGAACCAGCCAAGUAGCGUGAAGGAUGACUGUCCUACGGGUUGUAAACUUCUUUUAUAAAGGAGUAAAGUGAGGCACGUGUGCCUUUUUGUAUGUACUUUAUGAAUAAGGAUCGGCUAACUCCGUGCCAGCAGCCGCGGUAAUACGGAGGAUCCGAGCGUUAACCGGAUUUAUUGGGUUUAAAGGGUGCGUAGGCGGAUUGUUAAGUUAGAGGGGAAAUUUCCGAGCUUAACUCGGGAACUGCCUUUAAUACUGGUUAUCUAGAGAGUAGGUGCGGUAGGCGGAAUGUGUGGUGUAGCGGUGAAAUGCUUAGAUAUCAUACAGAACACCGAUUGCGAAGGCAGCUUACCAAUCUAUAACUGACGUUGAGGCACGAAAGCGUGGGGAGCAAACAGGAUUAGAUACCCCAGUAGUC
This 460-nucleotide ribosomal RNA is filed under the name uncultured bacterium. RNAcentral's name for it is "partial 16S ribosomal RNA". It matches the Rfam family "Bacterial small subunit ribosomal RNA", at positions 338 to 795 of the family's 1533-position model. The record is from RNAcentral.